Molecule: long non-coding RNA, 592 nt
Filed under: Homo sapiens (human)
Lineage: Eukaryota; Metazoa; Chordata; Mammalia; Primates; Hominidae
Description: HSALNT0209943
Source: RNAcentral
CCGCUCCCGCUUCUCCCACCACACUUCCCUGCAAGCUGAGAGAAGCGGCUCUGGCCUUGGGCAGCCCAGAAAGGGGCUCCCUCAGUGCAGCGGUGGGCUGAAGGGCUCCUCAAGUGCCGCCAAAGUGGGAGCCCAGGCAGAGGAGGCGCCCAGAGCGAGCGAGGGCUGUGAGGACUGCCAGCACGCUGUCACCUCUCAGAACUAUUUACUCAGAAUGAGUGAAGAGACAGUCUUGCUCUGUUGCCCAGGCCGGAGUGGAGUGGCACAGUCAUAAUUCCCUGUACCCUUGAAAUCCUGAGCUCAAGCCAUCUCCAUACCUUAGCCUCCCAAGUGGCUACUACAGGACUGACUGAUAGUAUUUUCCUUUGGAAGAUCCUUUUAUAUUCUGUCUCUAUGAAAGAAGUGUUUUCAAUGAAAUAAGGCAAAGGAGCCUCAGCCCAUGGCCAUAAAGGAGCCUUAACCCAUGGCCACCACCACCGUAGGCCCAUGAAGAAUACUGCCAGGCUCAUUGGUAUUCCUUAAAGACCACGGGCACUUUACUCGACCUAUGAAUAAGCGGAUUUGAAGAAAUUCUUAUUCAAGAGGAAGUCAA